UGGUACCUACGGGAGGCAGCAGUGGGGAAUCUUCCGCAAUGGGCGAAAGCCUGACGGAGCAAUGCCGCGUGAGGGAAGAAGGCCUUCGGGUUGUAAAACUCUGUCCUUAUCGAAGAGAGGUGGGUAUGUGAAUAAUGUACUCAUAGGACGGUAGAUAAGGAGGAAGCCCCGGCUAACUACGUGCCAGCAGCCGCGGUAAUACGUAGGGGGCGAGCGGUGGCCGGAAUCACUGGGCGUAAAGGGCGCGUAGGCGGUUUAAUAAGUCAGGAGUGAAAACUGAGGGCUCAACCCUCAGCCUGCCACUG
This 305-nucleotide ribosomal RNA is filed under the name uncultured bacterium. RNAcentral's name for it is "bacterial SSU rRNA". It matches the Rfam family "Bacterial small subunit ribosomal RNA", at positions 333 to 629 of the family's 1533-position model. The record is from RNAcentral.